AGUCUGCAACUCGACUACAUGAAGCUGGAAUCGCUAGUAAUCGCGAAUCAGCAUGUCGCGGUGAAUACGUUCCCGGGUCUUGUACACACCGCCCGUCACACCAUGGGAGGUCGGAAAUGCCCGAAGCCAGUGACCCAACCAUAAGGAGGGAGCUGUCGAAGGUGGAGCCGGUGACUGGGGUGAAGUCGUAACAAGGUACC
Molecule: ribosomal RNA, 200 nt
Filed under: uncultured bacterium
Lineage: Bacteria
Description: partial 16S ribosomal RNA
Rfam family: Bacterial small subunit ribosomal RNA
Source: RNAcentral